AAGUGAGUAUGCAUGAUAUGUUUCUGCGUAUUUAUUUAUUUCUGAAGUCGUUAUCUACCUCACGCAUUCAAUCAACUAUAUGUAUAUAAUUUUUCUUCCCAGGACGACUCGAGUGCCGGGUGCCCCCACGACUGGUUUCUCUACGACAACGCCUGCUACAUGCUUCAGGAUCAGAGGAUGACCUUUACCGAGGCAAAUGAUUUCUGCUCCUCCCUUGUCGCCACCGCCUCUCUGACUAAGGUCACCAACUACGAGGAGCUGGCUGCCAACGUGCCUCUGAAAGAUGCCUAUUUCUUCUGGAUCGGUCUUCACUCGACACCGACUGUGGACGGAAAACUGCUGUGGGAUAACGGUGACGAGGCGGAGCCGACCAACUGGCUGAAACUCUCCUACUCCGAGCCAGACGGCGACGACAUCGGACCUGGGAACGACUGUGUCAUGGUCAAUGGUCUGGAGAAGGAUGAACUGUUUUCGACUGGCGAGUGGGGCGACUAUGACUGUAGCUACGAGUCCAAGUUUCUCUGCGCUCUGGAGAUCUGAAGGAGUUGAUACCCGUGCUGAAGAGGAUCGGUUACGGUUCUGUCAAGAGGUCUCUGAUUUUUAAUGUUCUGCAGUGAGCUGAGAAUUUGAAAAGGACGACCUAGACCCCAUCCAAAAAGUCCUCUGUCUAAAAAAAGUCAAAGCAUGUGAGCUAUCUUUUUGUCAAAAGUCAGCUAUCGACUGAGAGAAUGGUGAAAGUUUCUCUAAUCAGCCUUUUGAUGUCAUGACGUACCUAUACCUACCUAACGCGGACCUUUUUGUGUGCCCCUGAAUGGAACUGGUUUGUGUGUGGGGAUAACUUAGGUAUAUAUUUUAUUCUUGUUGAGAAAUAUAGCAUAUUUUUGUGUGCUGUGAGACGUCAGUAUUAUAACUAGGACCUUAGCGUAAACAUUAUUUAACUGUUAAAUUUUAUAUUCUUGUUGGUUCGGAAAAGGCGUUCUAAGACCCGGAAUUAAAAAUCAAAAGGUGGUUAAUGGCUGGUUUACGGUGCUCACUGUUCAAGUGUUGAUUUGGAAAAUAUACAAAAUGUAUUUUUUAA
Molecule: long non-coding RNA, 1078 nt
Organism: Amphibalanus amphitrite
Lineage: Eukaryota; Metazoa; Arthropoda; Thecostraca; Balanomorpha; Balanidae
Exons: 2
Source: RefSeq, a predicted model, not a curated record